AAAGAGUGCGUCUAAGCAUUUAGGCUGAUCAGAUAGGCAAAUCCGUUUGAUCUUAAGGCUGAGGUGUUAUGGGGAGCCAUUUAUGGCGAAGCAUCUGAUUCCACGCUGCCAAGAACAGCCUCUAAGGAGGAGUUUGGUGCCCGUACCGCAAACCGACACAGGUAGGUGAGGAGAGAAUCCUAAGGCCGGCGGAAGAAUUACUGUUAAGGAACUCGGCAAAUUGACCCCGUAACUUCGGGAGAAGGGGUGCCUACGAGAGUAGGCCGCAGUGAAUAGGCCCAAACAACUGUUUACCAAAAACACAGGUCUCUGCUAAAUCGUAAGAUGAUGUAUAGGGGCUGACGCCUGCCCGGUGCUGGAAGGUUAAGGGGAUCACUUAGCGCAAGCGAAGGUGUGAACUUAAGCCCCAGUAAACGGCGGCCGUAACUAUAACGGUCCUAAGGUAGCGAAAUUCCUUGUCGGGUAAGUUCCGACCCGCACGAAUGGCGUAAUGAUUUGGGCACUGUCUCAACAGUAAAUCCGGUGAAAUUGUAGUACCAGUGAAGAUGCUGGUUACCCGCGGUUGGACGGAAAGACCCCGUAGAGCUUUACUGUAGCUUAGCAUUGAAUUUCGGUAUUGUCUGUACAGGAUAGGUGGGAGACUAGGAAACUGGGGCGUUAGCUUCAGUGGAGUCGUCCUUGGGAUACCACCCUGGCAGUACUGGAAUUCUAACGAGUGGCCAUGAAUCUGGUCAUCGGACAUUGCUAGGUGGGCAGUUUGACUGGGGCGGUCGCCUCCUAAAGAGUAACGGAGGCGCUCAAAGGUUCCCUCAGCGCGGUCGGAAAUCGCGCGAAGAGUGCAAAGGCAGAAGGGAGCCUGACUGCGACACCUACAAGUGGAGCAGGGACGAAAGUCGGACUUAGUGAUCCGGUGGUACCUCGUGGGAGGGCCAUCGCUCAACGGAUAAAAGCUACCUCGGGGAUAACAGGCUUAUCUCCCCCAAGAGUCCACAUCGACGGGGAGGUUUGGCACCUCGAUGUCGGCUCGUCGCAUCCUGGGGCUGUAGCUGGUCCCAAGGGUUGGGCUGUUCGCCCAUUAAAGCGGCACGCGAGCUGGGUUCAGAACGUCGUGAGACAGUUCGGUCCCUAUCCGCCGCGGGCGUAGGAAAUUUGAGAGGAGCUGUCCUUAGUACGAGAGGACCGGGAUGGACUGACCUCUGGUGUACCAGUUGUCGCGUCAGCGGCAUCGCUGGGUAGCUAUGUCGGGAAGGGAUAAACGCUGAAGGCAUCUAAGCGUGAAGCCCACCUCAAGAUAAGAUUUCCCUGCCUAGUGCAAUAAGAUCCCUUGAAGAACACAAGGUUGAUAGGCUGGAGGUGUAAGUGUGGUAACACAUGUAGCUGACCAGUACUAAUAGAUCGAAGACUUAAUCU
This 1410-nucleotide ribosomal RNA is filed under the name invertebrate metagenome. RNAcentral describes it as "bacterial LSU rRNA". It matches the Rfam family "Bacterial large subunit ribosomal RNA", at positions 1501 to 2925 of the family's 2925-position model. The record is from RNAcentral.